CGACUAAGGUUCGAUUCGAGCGCAGCGAGAAAGCGUUGCCGUAGGCAACGACCCGAAGGGCGAAGCGCGCAGCGCUGAGUAAUCCUUCCCCCGUCAUCC
RNAcentral lists this small RNA (99 nucleotides) under Salmonella enterica. Its description in RNAcentral is "partial RtT sRNA". It matches the Rfam family "RtT RNA", at positions 33 to 130 of the family's 130-position model. From Rfam's summary of the family: This family represents a bacterial cis-regulatory element known as RtT RNA. The exact function of RtT is unknown although it is thought that it may be involved in changing the cellular response in relation to amino acid starvation. Lineage: Bacteria; Pseudomonadati; Pseudomonadota; Gammaproteobacteria; Enterobacterales; Enterobacteriaceae. RNAcentral also lists the same sequence under 1 other name. The record is from RNAcentral.